AAAAUAUAUAAAAUUAAACUGGUUUGAAUAUUUUUUAGGUAAUAAUAAUCGGGUUUGAGACGGACUCAAAUAGUUAAGAAUAAAUUUCAAUCAGAUUUGGGUCGAAUUCGGGCUUUGAAAAUAUUAAUCAGAUUCAAGUUGGGUAAUUUUUGCAAGUACUCUACCUGUUAUCAUCCCUACUCUCGUCGUUCCCUUGGUAGACCUACUCUUCUUGACUGACCUGCUACCAUGAUUGGAGCACCUAGUGCUGCGUCUAGAAUCGACCAUAGCUGGAGGGAAAAGGCAAUAAUGAUUUAAUUUAAGUCAAUGAUGCAAGUUCCAAACCAUUUCUAGGCCAACGUAAUGGCCAAGAAAGUUCCUAAAAUUACAGUUCCAGUGAGGAUAACUCUAUCAACCCUAGCAGCAAUGAUGUUAUCACUUGGUGGAGGUUAAGGAGCAAGAGUCUGUGAUGGAGUGAAGGGGUUGACGAUGCAGGGGAAGUUGGAGCUAGAGAUGG
Molecule: unclassified non-coding RNA, 496 nt
Filed under: Hevea brasiliensis (rubber tree)
Lineage: Eukaryota; Viridiplantae; Streptophyta; Magnoliopsida; Malpighiales; Euphorbiaceae
Source: RNAcentral